GAAUAUUUCACCAUGGGCGAAAGCCUGAUCCAGCCAUCCCGCGUGUGUGAAGAACGUCUUCGGAAUGUUAAGCACCUUAAGUUGGGAGGAAGGGCAGUAGGCGAAUACUUUGCUGUUUGUACGGUACCGACAGAGUAAGCACCGGCUACCUCUGUGCCAGCAGCCGCGGUAAUACAGAGGGUGCAAGCGUUAAUCGGAAUUACUGGGCGUAAAGCGCGCGUAGGUGGUUCGUUAAGUUGGAUGUGAAAUCCCCGGGCUCAACCUGGGAACUGCAUCCAAAGCUGGAGAGCUAGAGUAGGGCAGAGGGUGGUGGAAUUUCAUGUGUAGCGGUGAAACGCGUAGAUAUAGGAAGGAACACCAGUGGCGAAGGCGACCACCUGGGCUGAUACUGACACUGAGGUGCGAAAGCGUGGGGAGCAAACAGG
Molecule: ribosomal RNA, 425 nt
Filed under: uncultured bacterium
Lineage: Bacteria
Description: partial 16S ribosomal RNA
Rfam family: Bacterial small subunit ribosomal RNA
Source: RNAcentral